CUGAAAGCAUCUAAGCGGGAAGCCUACCUCAAGAUAAGAUUUCCCUAGGACUUUAUGUCCUCUAAAGAGCCGUUCGAGACUAGGACGUUGAUAGGUUGGAUGUGGAAGCAUAGUGAUAUGUGAAGCUGACCAAUACUAAUUGCUCGUGAGGCUUGACUAUACAACACCCA
RNAcentral lists this ribosomal RNA (170 nucleotides) under Acinetobacter baumannii ABNIH16. Its description in RNAcentral is "partial 23S ribosomal RNA". It matches the Rfam family "Bacterial large subunit ribosomal RNA", at positions 2771 to 2925 of the family's 2925-position model. The record is from RNAcentral. Lineage: Bacteria; Pseudomonadati; Pseudomonadota; Gammaproteobacteria; Moraxellales; Moraxellaceae.